AGAGAGUGCAAGCGUUAAUCGGAAUUACUGGGCGUAAAGCGCGCGUAGGUGGGAUGUUUAAGUCGAAUGUGAAAGCCCCAGGGCUUAACCUGGGAACUGCAUCCGAUACUGGGCAUCUAGAGUAUGGUAGAGGGAAGUGGAAUUUCAGGUGUAGCGGUGAAAUGCGUAGAUAUCUGAAGGAACACCAGUGGCGAAGGCGGCUUCCUGGACCAAUACUGACACUGAGGUGCGAAAGCGUGGGGAGCAAACAGGAUUAGAGACCCUGGUAGUCCACGCCGUCAACGAUGAGAACUAGCUGUUGGGGGGGUUGCCCUUUAGUAGCGAAGCUAACGCGUUAAGUUCUCCGCCUGGGGAGUACGGCCGCAAGGCUA
Molecule: ribosomal RNA, 371 nt
Filed under: uncultured organism
Description: partial 16S ribosomal RNA
Rfam family: Bacterial small subunit ribosomal RNA
Source: RNAcentral